Polypterus senegalus (gray bichir) is the source of this 1501-nucleotide long non-coding RNA. RefSeq lists it as uncharacterized. The record is from RefSeq and is a predicted model, not a curated record. NCBI's taxonomy places the organism in Eukaryota, Metazoa, Chordata, Cladistia, Polypteriformes, Polypteridae. The transcript is spliced from 4 exons.
UACUCCCAUUCGGUAUUUCAAGAUCAAGCCUGGGGGGCCAUAAGGCUGCAGGUUUUCCUUAUAAAAGUUUCACCAAAAGGUUACAGAGGUCCACAGUUAUCCUGGUAACGCUGGGUGCAAUGCAGGAAGCAAUUCUGAACAGGAUGCAACUCACUUACACAUCCACACUCCUGCAGAACCAGUCUAGAAGCACCUAACACAAAUAUCUUCGGGAUGUCAGAGGAAAACUGGAGAACCUGGAAAAAAAUCCUAUUAAACAUGUUGAGACCGAGAGUUCAGGACUACAACCUAGAACACUGGAUCAGUAAGACCCUAUGUCUAAUUAAUACACAAAUCCUUCUGUUGCAUUGGGGAUUUCAAAGGAAAUGUUCGUAUACUGAAAAAGUAUAAUCUCUUCUCUAGGUCCUCUGGUUUUCUUCACACACCCUCAAAAACAUCAUCAUCAUCGGCAUUCCUCAGUCCAAGGAUUUGUUCCUCUGUUUCGGACCUGUUGAUGAAUCUUCUUGUGUGCAGUCAAGCCAAUUCUGGAGGUGAUGUGCUGGCUACAUACUUGAUUUGUGAAUGCAGCUGGAUUUAUGUCAGUAACAAAGUUAGCAACACUACAUUUACAGCGCUCUCUUUUGUCUUCUUCGAUUGCCCAUUGAGUUGCCUCAAAGGCAACUCCUCCAAAUCCUACAUCAUGAGUACAGGGUUCCUUGGUGGGUCUGCCUUUCCAAAAGAAAGUGUAGCCUGCUCCAGCUUCUUGGAGGUUUCCUUCAUCUGAGAGUCUCAUUUUGCUCAGAGCUGCAAUGUUGAUAAUGUGGCACUGAUGUUCACGAUUGACAAAGGCAGUUUGUCUUUCAGGACUGUUGUUUCUCUUCAAAUCAAGCAAAGUUCUGACAUUCCAUGAUCCAAGAAGAACUGGCUGAAAGGAUGUCCGUUUCUUAUGUACACUAUUCAAACCACAUAGACAACAAUUCUUCCUGAAUGUGGUAAUCUAUGCAAAUUGAAUGGGGUGGGCUUUGCUUAAUGCUUCCCUUAAUAGGACUUCUUUAACACUUGUGUAACUGUUGAACAUGAACGCUACCAUUUCAUUCAGUGAACUACCUUCUUGCACAAGCUGCCAACAUGCAGGUUCUGAACAUGACACUUCCAGGACAGGUCAGCCCCUACACCCAUCGCCUGUCCCCCAUCACUGUUGGAAGAUGGAGGGAGAAGUAGAGAAACACCCUUCAUGUGCUUUGAUUUCGAUGAUACUGAGGGUGAGGCUUCCUCAGUUAGACCAUGACUUGAUUGACAAUGGAAUUAGCCGGGAGAUGUGGGACAAAAAUGGUAGUAAACUAUGUAAUACUGUAUUGUGAAACAGUUAUUGUUUAUGCACCAAUUUAAAUGCCAAUUACUUCAAAGAUACUAAUCUGAACAUUUGUGAUUAUUGUAUUAAUGUCACUUAGUGACACGAGGCCAUGUCUGUGUUAUAAUUAAUUUAAAAGUUCAUUAAAAAUUAAUUCUUAUGUUUGCUCAC